RNAcentral lists this long non-coding RNA (5122 nucleotides) under Heterocephalus glaber (naked mole-rat). RNAcentral's name for it is "lncRNA (ENSHGLG00100039247.1)". Lineage: Eukaryota; Metazoa; Chordata; Mammalia; Rodentia; Bathyergidae. The record is from RNAcentral.
GGGACAGGAACGCGCGCCGCCGGGAGGCCGAGGAGGCAGCCGGAGAGCGCGCCCGCGAGUGGGAGCGGGAGGGGAGGCGGGGAGCUGCGGGCGGCGCGGGCUGGACUCAACCAUCCCCGCGGAGGGGCGGGGGCUGCCUCGGCGCGCACGCUGCAGAAGGAGACUCGUUGGCUCGCGUGGGGAAGCCCACGCCGCGCACGGCACGCGGGAGAAACCACGCGAGGGAGCAAGGGAGCGAAGGAGCGGGGCCGCGGGCGAGCCGGGUGCUGCGGGACUCAGGCUGGCCGGCCUCCAUGGACUGCUUUCUCCUUGAGGAGCAGAGCGCCAAGCGAGCCCUGCGAAUUCUGCCUGCUGUGUGCUCCCUACACUGUGAUCCUGUGGCGUGGCGGUGAACCCAGAAGCCGCGGGGGGACUACAGGCUGCAGAUGGAGAACAGAAAAACAAGAGCUCAGGAAACCCCAGAAAUUCCCAGGGGAGAACCGUGGCUUCCACUGUUUAGGCUGAACCAGGUAUGUGGAGGGGAGGGUCACCCCUCUGUGAUUUUAACUCAGAGCCCAGGGUACCUGUAACUCUGCAAGUGAGCAAAAACGCCUUUUUAAGACCCAGUAAGUGCUCCAGUAGUUCACUUUGAGCUCAUCAGGAAAAAUUGAUCUCCUUCAGGAGCUAAGGAGAAAGUGUCCUGGCUUUGCACUGCCAUCCCUAACGACUUGUGUCACCUAGAAGCAUUUCUGCCAUUAGAAAACGUUUCCAAAAUCGAACUCUCCUGGGCUAUGACUCCUACGUGACUUCCAGGCUAUUAGGAUCCCAGGACUGCAGUUGAGUAUCCCUUGGGAAACCAGACACCUUCCCCAGAGAUGCUGACUCCCAGGCUCCACAUUCAGCUCCCCCUCACCCUGAUCCACUUAGAAAACCUUUGCCCUUUCCCCCCAGUGUCCGUGGAAGAGAUUCCAUUCAAAUCAUUGCUAACUGAAGAUUCUGAUAACCAGGAGCCAUGCAGUGUUGCUGCAUUUAUAACGAGACAUUGUCUUCCACCAGAUAGAAGAUAAAGAGCUCUAAUAAUUCAUGACAAGUUGUUUCGUGGUCAUACGUAGGAGAGGGUGGGAAAUGGCCGUCAAAUAAGAUAGGCCGAAUUUGUAAUCUGGCUGUGUUUGUGAGUUAGUAUUGCAAUCUCCCAAGAUGGGCAAUUGCUUUGGAGGGAAAUCGUGGGGCACUGCUGCCAUCUAGUGCCCAGGUUUUCUUGUUUGGUGUUUCUAGAGAAAUCCAUCCUUGGGUCUCUGCUCUCUUACCUGAUCGGGGCUCCCUUUACUGUUUUUGAGGGCCCUUCCAGGAGACGCCCUCCCUCCAGGCUGUCAGGCAACAUGUGAAAGUUAUUGUUACACUGGAGGCUUUCUCACUUUGAUUUUGAUUUUAUGAAAUCGCUGUAAAAGUUUGAUCACUACCAAAAUUCAAACGUACAGUGUCCAUUGAGCUUGGGUGCUGGGCCUUCACACCAGGCAUGCUGGUCAUUUGUUGUUGCUGUUGAUGAUGAUGAUGAUGAUGAUGUGGCUGGUUUCUUUUACUCCUAGGCCUUUUAUUAACAUUUGAACAAUUCAUAAUUUAUAUCCAAGUACAGAAUAAAGUUAGACUCUGAGUCUUUCCUUUUAGUCUUUCUAAAUUUUAGCCUCUCAAAAUAUUUUUAAAUGUUGACAUUUUAAAUUUUUCAUCAACACAUAGUAACUACAUGUUUAGGAACACAGUGUGCUAAUUCUACACCUGUAUACAAUGUGCAAGAUGCAAUCAUGGUCAUUGAUUGGCAUUGGAAUCUUCUCAAACAUUUAGCAUUUGUUUGUGUUGGGAAGCUUUGACCUCCCUCUCUCCUAAGUCUUUAUGGUCACUGCUAUGGCUUGUAUCUACCUAGAUCUCCCUCCAAAUCCUCAGGCAGUCAUAGGUGGGGCUUUUGGGAGCUGGCUGGAUCUAGACUGUGUGACACUAAGGUUAAGGUGUUGUGGUACUAAAUUCAUCCACUGAUUGGAAUCAGCAUAGUUCUGGGCGUGGCUGAGUGGAUUUAAUAAAGACAGAAGUUUUGGGUGGUGGCCCCACCCAAAAGGCUUAUAUCCUGGAUGGGAUAAAAAGAAAGGCAGGCUGCUGCGAGCUGCUUGGUGCUUGCUGCUUUGUUGCCUUAUGCCUGCCUUGCCGUGGACUGGUUUCUUCUGGAAUGCACCUUUGUUAUGAUGCCCUGCUUGGAGUCAGCUGACUAUGGUCAGCAACUCCUAAAGCAACUAAGACAGUCACUCGACUCUUCUGGAGACUACUAGAGCUUAUUCUUUCUGGGUGAUUAUAUUUUGGGGUUCAACUCUGUCUCCCAAUCUAGGCACAAAGCUGUCCAUAGCCUUCAGAUCCAGCUGAGCUGCUGUGGACAUUGUGGCCUAUGGGACCAGCCAGGAGUUCAUCAGUACAGUGUUCAAAAGAAGCAGCUCUGGCAUACCAAAAAGUACAAAGAACCCCCCACCCCCAAUCUGGUAGCCACUAAAUAAAGACUAAAUUGCUGAGAUAAUAGUCAAGUAUCUAAAAGAGAGAGUGGGAAUUAAAUAAUUGGAUGAGGGUCAGAAAAUAAGAACGUGAUACUUGAGAUAAAUAUAGAUCUUUUUUAAAAAAUGCACAAAUGAGAAUGCUAAUUAACUAGCAAAGCUGUACAUAUGUGAAAAUCUGAGAGAAUAUACUGUGUUGCCAGGAUGGCUACAUGGCACGUUUGGCUUGUUUAAUGUCAUACCUGAAAAAAUGGGAGAUAGGAAAAUAGUUGGGAGAAUUCCUCUCCUUAACAGAGGGGUCAGUGCCAGGCUGCGUGAUUCAUGCUCCUCUGAUGCAGGAGCAGGAAGUCCAAGGGGCUUAGCAGUGAGAGCAAAAGUCACAUUAAAAGGGAACCUUUUGCAAAGACAUGAAGCACAACCUCACUGACACCAUGGCCACCUCUGUCCCCCUCAAGUCCCUGUCCCAGUGACGAGGAAAAGCAGGCUUUGAGGAAUUGAGUGGUUUACAGGAGGUCUCAUCUCAUUAAAGGUCUCAGCAGCUGAGACACUCAGGGCUCUUGCUGCACCUGCAUAUAAAACCCCGCCUCGCCACUCUGCCCUGACAGACAGAAGAGCACAGGCCCCGGGAAGCCAAGGGGCCUGCCUGCAUGGUUGUCCCUGCUCCUGUAGCUGUCAGAUAGGAACCCAGAGCCAGACGUGCAUGGAGCGCCCCACACUGAGAGUGGAGCACACAUUCUUCCCAAGAGCCUGUGCAGCAUUCUCCAUGACAGGCCAGCACCUGGCCAAUACUGGGAAGAAAGAGAGAGAACAUGACCAUUUGCAACUCUUUGUUCCUGAAAGUCUAGUUGUUUUUUUUUAAAUAACUAUUCAAAUUGGCUGGUUCUAAAAGUAAAAGUGAACCAUUUACCCUUAUUUUUCUCAAAAAGGUAGCCCUUUAUACACACACUUGCACACACACACUGCUUUAGGGUGUAGGAUGACGGGAUAAAGUGAGGUGCAUGCUAUGAAAGAGCCAGUGGGGAGAAAGAGAAAGUCGUGCGUCCUCUCCUUGCACCUUGGGGUAGCUUGAAGGGAGGACAGGGCACACAGCCUGCAACUCCAGGACGCAACACCCUGCCCUGGAGGGCUAAUCACACACAGCACCAGCGGCUGACCCCAGCUCCUGGGUACCUGACACUGCACAUCUGGGAUGGGGCCCUAAAAUUUACAUCUCUAAUUUUGAAGGCUAAAGGACAUGCCUUGGAGCCAUUUCUGUCAUUGUCUAGACAAGAGGGCCUAAUAAGAAUAAAAAAUAAGGACUCCUGCGUCUCAGUGUAUGAUUCCUCAUCUAAAACGUGGAUGAGAGCUUUCUCGUGGGGGAGUUGGAAAAGCCAAACAACAUAGACGCAAGGCCCAGAAGCUGGUGAAGUCUCAAAUAUAUGGUUCUCAUUUUCUGUGUCGUCUCUGAAGGGAAAAGAAGACACCCAGAUGGGCAAAGGCACUUCCAUCUGCUCUGAGCUGUAUUUUAGGAGCCGCAAACUGGAUCUUUCGAGAGAAAGGAACACAUUCAGUCAGUCUCUCCCGGAGUGUCUCGAGGACGGACCUGCUGUUUAUCAACAUGCCUCUGUGGAAGCUCCCAGAGAUCUCCUCAGGGUUUUACUGUGGUCUUGCCCUCCGAGGCUUAGGGCCUUUCUGGGGAUCCGGACAUUCUGUAGUGAAGAUGCUGGAUUGGCCAAAUCCUGUGAGGCGCCGUGGAAAAGUAAGAUCCUCCAUUUCCUGGACAAGAAUCUAUUGGAAAAUCUUAAAGAAGCAAGUUAUCUGCUGGAAGUGGUGGCUGCACCUGUAAUCCCAGCACUUUGAGAGGUGGAGAUGGGAAGCUCACAAGUUUGAACCCAGCCUGGGCCACUCAGCAACUUAGUUAGACAUGGUCUCAAAAAUUAAGGGUUGAGGAUGUAGCUCAGUGCAGAGGCCCUGAGUUCAACGCCUCCACAAAAAGCAAGUCAUCAUCCAUUGAAUUCCCAUAGAUCUGUCAACCUGGAAUGUGUAGAAUUCUGCAGUUCAUGCUGUGAUUCACAGAGGCUGAUUCUGAAAGACACAACGAGCUGUGGGUGUUGUAAAUAAUCGCUGGGAAAAGGAGGGAAACAGCAACAGAAGCACAAGCCUUCUCCAUCCCAACCCACUCCCUCCUGGGCCUCCACCCAAGGCCCUCUGGUGCACAAGGCCUGGCCUGAGCCUGCAGGAAGGCUGGAGCCACGUGUGGACUCCACCCAGCUCAUGACGGAAGUCACCCCUCCCUCGCCACAGGUCACUGCAGCCCCCUUAGCAGCCCCGGCUCUUAUCAAAGCAAUGCCUUCCGUGCUCUUCCUGUCAUUCUGUCAAAGUCUGAGAGAGAGAGAGACCUUCUGCAAUGGAAAGGAGAUCAAGAGAUCCCCUCCCAAGGGAGGGAGGAGAAGCAAAAGGGAGUGUUAUGUGCCUAUACCACCUGCCCACAGCGAAUGCAAUCCUUAUGUGCUGCAAAUUUGCACCAAUAAAAAUAACAAUUAAAAAAAUAAAAUUUAUUAGUUAAUCUGAAAAAAAUCAUUGUCAAUAGUAAUGGCUGGCAGAUAUAUUAAAAAAAAUCCAAUAUCAGGAGAAUG